Molecule: non-coding RNA, 115 nt
Organism: Triticum aestivum (bread wheat)
Lineage: Eukaryota; Viridiplantae; Streptophyta; Magnoliopsida; Poales; Poaceae
Source: Rfam
CACAUACUCCCUUCUUUCGGAAUUACUCGUCCAAAAAAUGAAUGUAUCUAGAUGUAUUUUAGUUGUAGAUACAUCCAUUUUUGUGACAAGUAAUUCCGAACGGAGGGAGUAGCAA